RNAcentral lists this unclassified non-coding RNA (580 nucleotides) under Hevea brasiliensis (rubber tree). Lineage: Eukaryota; Viridiplantae; Streptophyta; Magnoliopsida; Malpighiales; Euphorbiaceae. The record is from RNAcentral.
GAGAAUAGGAGAAUUGAAAAAAUGCCACAGAGUGCAGGCUGAUCCAUCCUGGGUUACAUGCCUGUGCCACCUUCUUCAAUACCCUUCACUCAUGCUCAUUUUUAUUGCCUUGGCCUUGGACUCAUGAUAUGAAAAAGGUUGCUUUAAUCAAAACCCACUGGCGUUCAUUUGCCUUUCCAUAGAAAUUGGAAUAGUCGGACAGUGCUUCACGAUGGCAUUGAAUAAUAAAUAACAUACAGCAGCUGCUAAGUAAUUUUUUUGUUUUUCCAUGUAAUUAAGUAUUUCAACUUCACGCUGACAAAUUUCUCCUUGUAACUUUUUGACGAUUUAUAUUGCAGUUGUCGAGUGAUUUAUAUAAUAUUUUCUUGACAAACUUAGUCUGAAAUUUGUGAAGUGCUUAUUUGGCGCACAACUAAAUUAAAAUUUAUCUUUUUCCAUUUGAAAUUCAAUUCUUAAUUUUUAAUCAGCUUGUGAUUGAUAUUUGCCUUCAGGUUCUUGUUGUCAAUGUAUUUGCAUGUAUAUUUCAUCGCGUAUAUUGUAUUUAUGUGGUUAAUUGCUUCUGCCGACUUCUGUCCAAUUU